GGGCUGCGUGGGUGGUGGUGGGGGUUGUGGUGGUUGCUAGCUGGAUAGUUAGGGUUAAAGUUUAGGGUGGCGUGAGGUGUUAGAGGAUUAGGGUUUUGGGGUUAGGGUUAGAGGGGUUAAUUAACCUUAAUGACUAACGCAAAACUUGACGCCGUUAGUCAUUAAGGGAAUUUGGUGCAUUUUAUUGAAACAGUAAGGGUGGUCCAUUUUUUAAAAAUUAGGGGUACCCCAUGAAUUUUGAAAACCACAGGGAUACCUGGUGAAAAAAUCCUAUAAUGUAAUUAAGAAGUUUAUAAAUUUUAAUUUGAGCAAUUUUUUCCUAACUACAUUUCACAUAUUAAUUAUUAAAAUCAUGAAAAUAACUUUUCCAUGCAAUAAAAAUAUAUCUAUAAAUCUUGACAUUAAUUUUUUUAGAACAAUGUCUAGGCUAUACCAUAAAAGAACCUUUUGAGCUCAAUAAUUGAACUUUCCCUUUCAGUUGACAAAUAAUUAUUCAUUACUCGAGGAUUGAAAAUAUAAUGAGGCACCUCUAAUUAUUAUAUAUGCUAGAUAAAAUUUCAUUAAAUUAUAUAGUCGUACAAACUAAACAAGUAUAUAUAUUAUAUUACAAUCUAGGAGUAUAAAGAAAAACACAACAUGAUGUAUCUUUCUAUAGCUUUUCAAUUGCUCACCUAUUUCAUCCUACUAUUUUAUCAUUUGUUAUUAAUUCAAUAUUCAUUUUAGUUUAGAAAUCUAAGUAUACAUAUAUAUGGAGAAAGAAAAUGUAAAAGAAAAAAGUUACAACACAAUUCUCGAUAUCUCACAAUAUGUCUCAAUAUUCUAAUGUUGUCUCUAUUCCAUACAUUAUUAUAUACUUUAAUUUACUUUAGUAUUAUCUUUUAUCUGUUACUCCCUCUGUUUCAUUUUAAUUGUUAUACUUUGAUAUUUUACACUAUUCACAAAUUUUACUUUAACCAUCAUUUGUGAUUUAUACGCAGAUGAAAAUAUAGUCAUGUGGGAUCUUGUUAGAUUCAUCAUAACAUGUAUUUUAUUAAUAUGUACUUUUUAUAAUUUUUACAAACACAAAACUAAAGAUAUAUGUCCUCAACGUUUAGCAUUGGCAUGCGUGAAAAGUGUAAGUGUGUAGAUUAAAAUGAAACGGAUGGAGUACUUUUUUAUUCUUGACAUCGAAUAUUGCAUUUCAAUUAUCCCUUAUUUUAGAUUACGUUUUUAUAUUAAAAAUAUUGGUUGACACAAAAUAGACCCAACCCUAGCUGACUUGACCCAAUCCAGCUCGAAUUCGACCCAAUCCGUUGUAAACCCAAACAGACUCGACUCCAAUCAGAUGUGAUUCGACUCGAAUCAAUCCACAAACAGCAAACGAGAAACGACCCGAAUUGACUCAGCAUGUGCCUAUCCUGGAUGAACUCCUUUACCAUCUCGAAAUGAUAUCCAUAUUUAUGUUACAGUUGAAAGUCCUUUCAUUCUUAAUUUUUAAUAAAUUAGUUGAAUAUGUAUUUUUUGGGGGAAAUUUUGUUAUGUAUCUAGUGAGUUGUUGUACUAUUAAUGCAAUUAUAGUGGAAUAUGUCAGAAUUGCCAAUGUUGAGAGUAGGAAUGUCGGAGCAUCAUCCCUAUAAAUAUCUAAUGGUUCAUUGUAUUUGGGCUAUGAAAAUCAAUAUAAAAAACCUCUUUCCUCCUAUCUCUCUUUCUCUCUCGUUCUUCUUUCUCUCCCCUAACUAGUUUAUGAAACUUCAAAUUACUCAUUUCACUUUCAAUAUUGGGUGAAUACCUAAAUUCCUACAUCAUUGGUAUCAGAGCAACUCACAUUCUGGUAACGAGAACACAACUUAAAUUGCUGGUGAAGUUUAGCUUCAGAAAUUUAGGUUUUUUGCCCAACAUUUUCUUGUGAAAUCUGGCACUUGUGACAAGAAAUCUGACUGCAAAUUAGCUCAAGGCACAAUUUGAUGAAAGGAUCAAUAUAUUGGAGCAACAUCUGAUUGCCCAUUCCUAUGCGUUAUAUGAAAUUCUCAGCUUAUUGAAGGAUAAAGCAAAGGAAGCGAAAAAUUCAUAAAACACUUUCAACGAUGGAUGGCGAGGGACUUGCUCAAAAACUUGGGUGCAAGCUAGAACCCGUUCACCCUCACGCAGUGGCUAAUGGCAACCAGCUCUCAUGCUCAUUGGUGUGCAAGGGCUUCACCUGGCAACUGCCGUUUGCCAAAUUUACAACAUAUGCUCUUAUGACCCCCCUUGGUGGAAGUGACAUAGUACUAGAAGUCCAAUGGCUUAAUACUUCAGGCACAGUCAAGUGAAAUUUUAGACAGCUGAAAAUGGAGUUUACUUCUGCCAACAAGUCGCAUGUUCUGGGUGGUACCACCUAAAUUUGAAGGCUAUGGAUAGUUCAACAAUUUCAAAGAUGAUACGAACUGCUGCUCAUGUGUGUUUGCUCCAAGUGAAUUCCUCUACUACUCAUUUCCCCAACCACAUCACCUAUUCCGCACAACAGGUUGAGCCCAGCUCAUAUCCACAACUAUCUACAUUGUUGGACACCUUCCAUAGUAUCUUCAUAUAACCUAGUUGUUUACCCCCAAUUAGAAGAGUCUUUGAUCAUAAGAUUUCUUUACUAACAACAUCUCAACCUGUUAAUAUAAGGCCAUACAUAUAUCCAAUCAAACACAGGGAUAUAAUUGAGCAACUCAUCAAAGAAAUGAACGAUGAAUGCAUCACACUGAGACAACCACCCUUUUGCCUCCCCUGUAGUGCUGGUGGGAAAGAAAAAUAGCAACUGGAGGCUCUGUAUUGAUUACAAGGAGCUCAACAAUAGAAUCGUCAAAGACAAGUAUCCUAUCUAGUGGCGGAUCAACUCAUUGAUGAAUUGGCUAGUUCACAAGUCUUCACAAAGUUGGACCUGAGAGCCAAGUAUCACCAACUUAGGGUAUCUCAAGAUGUGUUUAAAACUGCAUUAAAAACACACUCAGGUCAUUAUGAAUUCCUAGUUAUGCCAUUUAGCUUCACUAAUGCACCUGCCUCAUUUCAAUGUUGGAUGAAUGGACUAUGGUGUGUUUAGAUAAUGUUGAUAUGAAUAGUAAUUUUGAAUUUGUUCUACUAAUACACAAUAUUAUAAUCAAAUUAAUGUCCUAA
Long non-coding RNA from Beta vulgaris subsp. vulgaris (sugar beet), 3117 nucleotides. RefSeq lists it as uncharacterized. NCBI's taxonomy places the organism in Eukaryota, Viridiplantae, Streptophyta, Magnoliopsida, Caryophyllales, Amaranthaceae. The transcript has 2 exons. The record is from RefSeq and is a predicted model, not a curated record.